This 405-nucleotide ribosomal RNA is filed under the name uncultured bacterium. RNAcentral's name for it is "partial 16S ribosomal RNA". It matches the Rfam family "Bacterial small subunit ribosomal RNA", at positions 30 to 526 of the family's 1533-position model. The record is from RNAcentral.
AUUGAACGCUAGCGGGAUGCUUUACACAUGCAAGUCGAACGAGUGGCGGACGGGUGAGUAAUAUAUCGGAACGUGCCCAGUAGCGGGGGAUAACUACUGGAAGGAGUGGCUAAUACCGCAUACUUUUGGCUGGGCCGAUUUGGGAUUGGCUAGUUGUUGGGGUAAAGGCUCACCAAGGCAACGAUCCGUAGCGGGUUUGAGAGGACGACCAGCCACACUGGGACUGAGACACGGCCCAGACUCCUACGGGAGGCAGCAGUGGGGAAUUUUGGACAAUGGGGGAAACCCUGAUCCAGCCAUCCCGCGUGUAUGAGAAGGCCUUCGGGUUGUAAAGUACUUUUGGCAGAGAAGCGGUAUCUGCAGAAUAAGCACCGGCUAACUACGUGCCAGCAGCCGCGGUAAUAC